GCGGCGGUGGCUCAGUGGCUAGAGCGCUGCAUCAAUGUGUCUUGCAAACACAAGCAUUGUAGUGUUAUUACUCCGGACACAAGUCUGCAGUCAUACGGUAACACUGAAGAUGCAGAGAUCGUGAGUUCGAACCUCUCUCGCCGCA
Molecule: transfer RNA, 145 nt
Filed under: Aureobasidium namibiae CBS 147.97
Lineage: Eukaryota; Fungi; Ascomycota; Dothideomycetes; Dothideales; Saccotheciaceae
Rfam family: tRNA
About the family: Transfer RNA (tRNA) molecules are approximately 80 nucleotides in length. Their secondary structure includes four short double-helical elements and three loops (D, anti-codon, and T loops).
Source: Rfam by way of RNAcentral